Molecule: ribosomal RNA, 408 nt
Filed under: uncultured bacterium
Lineage: Bacteria
Description: partial 16S ribosomal RNA
Rfam family: Bacterial small subunit ribosomal RNA
Source: RNAcentral
GACGAACGCUGGCGGCGUGCUUAACACAUGCAAGUCGAACGGAGUGGCGAACGGGUGAGUAACACGUGGGUGACCUGCCCUGCACUUCGGGAUAAGCCUGGGAAACUGGGUCUAAUACCGGAUAGUGUGGGAUGGGCCCGCGGCCUAUCAGCUUGUUGGGGGGGUAAUGGCCUACCAAGGCGGCGACGGGUAGCCGGCCUGAGAGGGUGGACGGCCACAGUGGGACGGAGACAGGGCCCAGACUCCGACGGGGGGCAGCAGGGGGGAGUAUGGCACAAUGGGGGGAGGCCUGAUGCAGCGACGCCGCGGGGGGGAGGACGGCCUUCGGGUGGGAAACUCCUUUCACCAUCGACGCGGUAGAUGGAGAAGAAGCACCGGCUAACUACGUGCCAGCAGCCGCGGUAUUUC